Molecule: ribosomal RNA, 465 nt
Filed under: Vreelandella stevensii
Lineage: Bacteria; Pseudomonadati; Pseudomonadota; Gammaproteobacteria; Oceanospirillales; Halomonadaceae
Description: partial 16S ribosomal RNA
Rfam family: Bacterial small subunit ribosomal RNA
Source: RNAcentral
CCUACGGGAGGCAGCAGUGGGGAAUAUUGGACAAUGGGGGGAACCCUGAUCCAGCCAUGCCGCGUGUGUGAAGAAGGCCCUCGGGUUGUAAAGCACUUUCAGUGAGGAAGAACGCCUGGUGGUUAAUACCCAUCAGGAAAGACAUCACUCACAGAAGAAGCACCGGCUAACUCCGUGCCAGCAGCCGCGGUAAUACGGAUGGUGCGAGCGUUAAUCGGAAUUACUGGGCGUAAAGCGCGCGUAGGUGGCUUGAUAAGCCGGUUGUGAAAGCCCCGGGCUCAACCUGGGAACGGCAUCCGGAACUGUCAAGCUAGAGUGCAGGAGAGGAAGGUAGAAUUCCCGGUGUAGCGGUGAAAUGCGUAGAGAUCGGGAGGAAUACCAGUGGCGAAGGCGGCCUUCUGGACUGACACUGACACUGAGGUGCGAAAGCGUGGGUAGCAAACAGGAUUAGAUACCCCAGUAGUC